GACGAACGCUGGCGGCGUGCUUAACACAUGCAAGUCGAACGGAAAGGCCCUGCUUUUGUGGGGUGCUCGAGUGGCGAACGGGUGAGUAACACGUGAGUAACCUGCCCCUGACUUUGGGAUAACUUCAGGAAACUGGGGCUAAUACCGGAUAGGAGCUCCUGCUGCAUGGUGGGGGUUGGAAAGUUUCGGCGGUUGGGGAUGGACUCGCGGCUUAUCAGCUUGUUGGUGGGGUAGUGGCUUACCAAGGCUUUGACGGGUAGCCGGCCUGAGAGGGUGACCGGCCACAUUAGGACUGAGAUACGGCCCAGACUCCUACGGGAGGCAGCAGUGGAGAAUAUUACACAAUGGGCGGAAGCCUGAUGCAGCAACGCCGCGUGCGGGAUGACGGCCUUCGGGUUGUAAACCGCUUUCGCCUGUGACGAAGCGUGAGUGACGGUAAUGGGUAAAGAAGCACCGGCUAACUACGUG
Molecule: ribosomal RNA, 468 nt
Filed under: uncultured bacterium
Lineage: Bacteria
Description: partial 16S ribosomal RNA
Rfam family: Bacterial small subunit ribosomal RNA
Source: RNAcentral